UCUUACAUAUGUUAUCUCAUCUAAUUCUUACAAUAAUUCUAUGAGGGAAAUGCUGCUAUUAUUCUCAAUUUACAGAAAAGGAAAUGGAUCCUGAGUAGAUGGUGAAUAGGACAGAGUACUGGACCUAGAACUAGAAAGUUCAAAUCUGGUAUAACUAGCUGUGUGAUUCUGGACAAGUCAUUUAAUCCUUUUUGCCUUAGCUUCCUCGACUAUAAAAAUGAGGAUAACAAUAGCCCCUAGCUAAAAAAAAGUUGUGAGGAUCAAAUGAGAUAUUUAUAAAAUGCUCAGCAAAGUGCCUAGCACAUAGUAAACAUCAUAUAAAGAUUUAUUUCCUUUCCCUUCCCCCUACUUAACUGACUUUUUUCCCAAUGUUUUUCCAGAACUCAUCAUUGUCUUUUCACUUUGGAAAUCCAUAUGAAUGAUGUCUAUAUUUACCCUAAUUCUGAGUGAAAAUUGGGGUAUUGAUGGGAAGGAGGUAGAGCAUGUCUAGGACAAGUUUAUUUAGCUAGUCAGUCAUGAAUGAGUAUAGAUGUAAAUGCUAGAAAUUCCUUUUCCCAGAAAGUGGCUCAUUUGUCUUGCUACUGCCCCAUGGCCCUUCUAAGUUAUGAAAAGUGGAAGUUGUCUAUCAUAAACACUUUAGUAUACUUCUCUCCUUAGCAUGAUGUAUUUGGAUAAGCUAGGGUGGAGUUCUGCCCUCUUCCCUUCCCCUACUACAUUCCCAUGAGAAUUGCCUUCUCCCAGAGUCAACUACUUCCUACUAUGGGGUGACAUUACUUGGGCUCUUCACUUCCUCCCCUGCUACUGACUAGCCUAGAAUCCCCAUGAUAGGACAGUCAGGUCUGGUUACUUUUCUCUAGGUGUUGGGAAUAGAGGAUCUGGGUGGAAUGGGAAGAUGGGGCCUCAGAGCAUCCCAGUAGAAGCCUUCUCUAACUAAAUAAGGACUACUCUCUUCUCCAAACAACUCAACUAGCAGUUAUCAUGGAUACAGCAACUGAAUUAUCUCCAAAACCCAUUGAAUGGCUUCAUCAUUUCUUCAUCCUACUGGUCCCAUCUCUUCUAUUGAUUCAAUUCUAUCAAUUUUAACCAGCAUCAUCAAUGGCUGUCCAUUGGAUUCUGGCUAUUGACAAGUCCUUCCUCUAGUUAAGUCUCUUUGUUUUUCUUUCUAUCUACCUCUGGCCCAAUGGGCUACAGUUCUGCCUUAACCUCUAAACCUCCAAUUUGGGUAAACAGAACCAAGGUUAAAAUAAGCCUUGGAAACCAUAAAAUUUUAUUGCCUCUCCCCUCCUGGGACUUCAACAUAAGGCCCCACACUAGUCUUCUAAUGAUUAACUUUGUGGAAAGACUGCUGAAAAAUUUCUUCCACUCUUAUAGGGCUUGUUAUUGAAACCAAAGUAGGAGUUUUUAGGGCUGGGUCAAAUGGAGAGAGAGAUAAUGGGGAGGACACUGCAUUUCUACUCCACUCUUACCUCUUAUACCUUAAUUCUUAUUUUGGUUUCUAAGUUAGUAAUGUGGGCAAAGAAUCAUAGAAUGGAAGAGUAGGAAGGAACCUCUGAGAUAAUGUAGUCUAAAUAAUGUAGUCCAGCCCAUUUAUUUCACAGAUGAGGAAAGGAGCACACCUAGAGGUUUUAGAUCCAUAUGGAACUCAAAUAAUUUUCUGAUCAGCAGAAAUUAGAGACUAGCUACAACUCUAUGAAGGUCACCUAUUCCUUUUCCAAUAUACUUAGAGGAGACCAGGUUGGGAUCAUGCAUAACUAUUGCUGGGAAAAACAAUCUAGCUAGAAGACAUUCCCCUCUCCACCCCCAAAUCCAAAGUCCUUUGAAGUCUAGGUGGGGCAACAGAAUAUUCUUUUCCCCACCCCAUUCCCCAGCUUGAAAGGGGAGGAGGAGAGAAGGAAUACAUGGAUCAGAAGGGAAAGUGGGGCACUCCUCAGGGUAGGAUCUCUCCCUUCUUAUCUUCUAGACAAUCCUUGAGUUGCUGCCUGAUCAGAGCAGAAGGAGACAUCUAAUGCCUGGUGAGAGACAGUAAUCCUCAGCAAGAACCUGUCAGGAGAAUGAUCCUGCAGCAGGAAGGCUGGCCCCUCUAAUGCUUCUUUUGGAAGAUGCCCCUCUGAUAUUUAACUUUGUGCCAUCAUGACCCAGAGCUAGAAGGGACAUCAGAUGGCAUCUCUUCCUCAUUUUACAGAUCAGGAAGUUGAAGACUUAAAUUUGGGAUACUUUUCCCCCAAAAGGGCUAUAUCUUGCUCAUUUAAAUCACAGGGAUGGUAAGAGAAGACCAUGAUAUCACAUUUAGGAACAGGUUCUAUGGGUUUCUGGUUUGUUUACACAUCUCCCCUUCCCAUCAUCCCCUUUUUUUCUUCCAUUGUCCCCCCAGGGGAGGAGGGCAUAACAGCAGUCCCAUUUUACAGAUGGCAAAGAGAGUAAAUGGUUCAGCUAGGCUCAUCCAGCACAUUCAGCGCUAGAUUCAGGACCAGUAUCCAGAUCUGACCUUCCUGUGCUUUGGACUCAAAUUAUUUUUAAAAGUGGAAAAAAAAAUCAGAAAGCCUAUCAUCUCAAUUUUCACAUGGCCACUAAUUAAUGUUACAAUAGCAUUUGAGGAGCUCUCUGGGCCUUGAGGUUGUCCGUUGGAUGGGAUUAGACUAGGUGACCAAGGUAUUUCUGACAGCCUGUGAUUGGCACUUAGGCUUACUGUGGCAGUAAGUAAUAAAACCUCAUAAACAAACGGAACAUGGGGAGAGUUGAGGGCAGCCCAGAAAGUUUAAGAACAAAGGCUGAGAUGGAGGAGAGCCUGCCUACCAGAGGCCCACCAGAGAGAGAAGGACCUGGGACAUCAGCCAUCAGCAAUCUAAAGGCCCCAAAGAACAGGAAGUCGUGCCUCCUGGAGUGACGAUGUCUAUCUUCAGGACCCUUGGCCUGCAAGGGAAAAUAUACCACAAAGACGCAAAACUUUCCAUGACCCACUGACAAAAAUAUGAGACUGACUGCUCCGACAGAUGAAGAAGCAUUUACUGCAAACCAGCACAGCUCUGAGUGCAGUGGGACAAAAGGUCACUUGGAAACCCAAGGAUCUGAGUUUGCUUUUUAACCCUUUCUCUGACUAUCGCCUUUCUCACUGAGUCACCAGUUUGAAUCAACACACAAUUUGGGCAAAAGUUAGAGGCAGAAUCCUAACUUAUACUAUUAAUAGGAAGCUAUUGAGAUGGGAAUGGAAGUGUUUGGACCUUUGAGCAAAAAGAGGGAUCUUAGAAUCCUGGCUCCCUUCUCACUGAGGACUCAACGAGGCCUGCUUCCCUUUCCCCUUCCCCUGGUAGAGCCUUAAUAAAAAUUGACUAAUUUGAUUUAACUGGAUUCUAGGAUAGGUCUAUUGGUAUCAGAUUGACUUCAAACAUGCACUAAUCCAAUUAGGGGCGAUGUUAUUGCUAUUCAGCUAAUUUUUAGUCAUGACUGUCUCUUUGUGACCUCUUUGGGCUUUUCUUGGUAAGAAUACUGAACCAGUUUGCCAUUUCCUUUUCCAGCUCAUUUUACAGAUGAGGAAAUAGAGGCAGGGUCACAUAUCUUGAAAAUGUUUGAAGGUAGAUUUGAGCUCUGAGAGGAGUCUUCCUGACCCCAGGCUUGGCACUCCAUCCACCACACCACUUAGCUGCCCCUUGGGAUGUUAGGAACACUAAAAGCCCCUCUGAAGUAGAAUUCUGUAUAUCUAAAAAGGUAUGUUUAUUGGUCUAUGCCCAUGACAUUGGCCAAGGGCAUCACGUGAGAUUUCUGUUUAUCUUUGGAAUGAAAAUAGUUCUUGGUGUAUUAUAAUAGAAAGGGAACCUCAUUUCAGGGAAAGAAAUCUGGUUUCUGGUCCCAGAACUACCACUCACUUGCUGUGCCUCUUUGAGCAAUUCAUUUGCCUUUUCUGGGCAUUUAUUUUCUUUUCUGUCAAAUGAGUAAAAUAAACCAGCUGGUCACCAAGA
Antechinus flavipes (yellow-footed antechinus) is the source of this 3953-nucleotide long non-coding RNA. RefSeq lists it as uncharacterized. The record is from RefSeq and is a predicted model, not a curated record. Lineage: Eukaryota; Metazoa; Chordata; Mammalia; Dasyuromorphia; Dasyuridae. The transcript has 2 exons.